CCCUUAGAUGUCCUGGGCCGCACGCGCGUUACACUGAUGCAUUCAACGAGCUUAUAACCUUGGCCGAGAGGCCUGGGCAAUCUUGUUAACGUGCAUCGUGAUAGGGAUAGAUUAUUGAAAUUAUUAAUCUUGAACGAGGAAUUCCUAGUAAACGCAGAUCAUCAAUCUGCAUUGAUUACGUCCCUGCCCUUUGUACACACCGCCCGUCGCACCUACCGAUUGGAUGGUCCGGUGAAUAAUUCGGACUGACGCAGUGCUCAGCUUCUGGACGUUGCGUCGGAAAGUUUCAUGAACCUUAUCACUUAGAGGAAGGAGAAGUCGUAACA
This 326-nucleotide ribosomal RNA is filed under the name uncultured eukaryote. RNAcentral describes it as "partial 18S ribosomal RNA". It matches the Rfam family "Eukaryotic small subunit ribosomal RNA", at positions 1470 to 1796 of the family's 1831-position model. The record is from RNAcentral.